Molecule: ribosomal RNA, 255 nt
Filed under: uncultured bacterium
Lineage: Bacteria
Description: partial 16S ribosomal RNA
Rfam family: Bacterial small subunit ribosomal RNA
Source: RNAcentral
UACGGGGGGAGCAAGCGUUGUUCGGAUUUACUGGGCGUAAAGGGCGCGUAGGCGGCCACCGCAAGUCAAUUGUGAAAUCUCCGGGCUUAACUCGGAACGGUCAGGUGAUACUGCUUUGCUAGAGUGCGGAAGGGGCAAUCGGAAUUCUUGGUGUAGCGGUGAAAUGCGUAGAUAUCAAGAGGAACACCUGAGGUGAAGACGGGUUGCUGGGCCGACACUGACGCUGACAGCGCGAAAGCCAGGGGAGCAAACGGG